Molecule: ribosomal RNA, 403 nt
Filed under: uncultured bacterium
Lineage: Bacteria
Description: partial 16S ribosomal RNA
Rfam family: Bacterial small subunit ribosomal RNA
Source: RNAcentral
AUUGAACGCUGGCGGCAGGCCUAACACAUGCAAGUCGAGCGAGCGGCGGACGGGUGAGUAAUGUAUGGGGACUGCCCGAUAGAGGGGGAUAACUACUGGAAAAGGUGGCUAAUACCGCAUACUGUCGGGUACCCCAUCUGGGAUUAGCUAGUAGGUAAGGUAAAGGCUGACCUAGGCAACGAUCCCUCGCUGGUUUGAGAGGAUGAGCAGCCACACUGGGACUUAGACACGGCCCAGACUCCUACGGAGGCAGCAGUGGGGAAUAUUGGACAAUGGGCGCAAGCCUGAUGAAGCAAGCCCGCGUGUAUGAAGAAGGCCCUAGGGUUGUAAAGUACUUUCGGUAGAGAGGCGGUACCGACAGAAGAAGCACCGGCUAACUACGUGCCAGCAGCCGCGGUAAUAC